This 479-nucleotide ribosomal RNA is filed under the name uncultured bacterium. RNAcentral describes it as "partial 16S ribosomal RNA". It matches the Rfam family "Bacterial small subunit ribosomal RNA", at positions 28 to 507 of the family's 1533-position model. The record is from RNAcentral.
GAUGAACGCUGGCGGCGUGCUUAACACAUGCAAGUCGAGCGAGAAGUUUUGAACAGAUUCUUCGGAUGAAAUUUAAAAUGGAAAGCGGCGGACGGGUGAGUAACGCGUAGGCAACCUGCCCCAUACAAAGGGAUAGCAUUUGGAAACGAAUAUUAAUACCUUAUGAAACUUAACUAGUGCAUGCUAGGUAGGUCAAAGAUUUAUCGGUAUGGGAUGGGCCUGCGUCUGAUUAGCUAGUUGGUGAGGUAACGGCUCACCAAGGCGACGAUCAGUAGCCGACCUGAGAGGGUGAACGGCCACAUUGGAACUGAGACACGGUCCAAACUCCUACGGGAGGCAGCAGUGGGGAAUAUUGCACAAUGGGGGAAACCCUGAUGCAGCAACGCCGCGUGAACGAUGAAGGCCCUUGGGUCGUAAAGUUCUGUUCUAGGUGAUGAAAACUGACAGUAACCUAGGAGAAAGCCCCGGCUAACUCCGUG